CCGUGAAACACCUCCCGAGCUUGUCCUGCCUGUUAAUAUCCAGGCACCAAAAGCCAUUUAAGUGUGGAUCCAAGUUAAUUUUCCCUUGGGUUCUAUGGUGUUAUAAGCCAAUUUCUUUUUUCAUUGGGCUGAUCAAACAAGAAAAUACCUACGUUUCAUUCUCAAUAAUUAAGGUCAGGCCGAACCAUCAAAUACUUAAUCCAGGUUUGCAGCUCUUGCAUUUACUGUGCUGAUCAUAUUACCAGUCAGAAGCUUUGAUUGUGGAUCAAGUACCAAUUGUACCGUAGAGCAGAUAAUUGUUAUUUUCCCCCAAAUAAUCAAAUUUGAAGCCAGCAGAGUUUACUUGUCAAAACUCAUUUUUCCUCGUGAAUAAAUAGUGGUUCCUUUUUCUUUUAAACAAAGGUUUAAGCAGG
Molecule: unclassified non-coding RNA, 413 nt
Filed under: Hevea brasiliensis (rubber tree)
Lineage: Eukaryota; Viridiplantae; Streptophyta; Magnoliopsida; Malpighiales; Euphorbiaceae
Source: RNAcentral